UACCCGCGGCCCGAGUGGUGCUCAUUUUUAUUGAGCCUAAAGCGUCCGUAGCUGGCCGGGCAAAUCUCCGGGUAAAUCGGGCGGCUCAACCGCCCGAAUUCCGGAGACACUGCUCGGCUUGAGAUCGGGAGAGGGAGAAGGUACUCCCUGGGUAGGGGUAAAAUCCUGUAAUCCGGGGGGGACCACCAGUGGCGAAGGCGUUCUCCUAGAACGAAUCUGACAGUGAGGGACGAAGCCCUAGGGCGCAAACGGG
RNAcentral lists this ribosomal RNA (253 nucleotides) under uncultured bacterium. RNAcentral describes it as "partial 16S ribosomal RNA". It matches the Rfam family "Archaeal small subunit ribosomal RNA", at positions 474 to 727 of the family's 1478-position model. The record is from RNAcentral.